Molecule: transfer RNA, 75 nt
Filed under: Candidatus Woesearchaeota archaeon
Lineage: Archaea; Nanobdellati; Candidatus Woesearchaeota
Description: tRNA-Met
Rfam family: tRNA
About the family: Transfer RNA (tRNA) molecules are approximately 80 nucleotides in length. Their secondary structure includes four short double-helical elements and three loops (D, anti-codon, and T loops).
Source: RNAcentral
AGCGGGAUAGGGCAGCCAGGAGUGCCCGAUGGGCUCAUAACCCAUAGGUCAGAGGUUCAAAUCCUCUUCCCGCUA